AGAGGAGACAGCCUCAGUGUUGUUGAAGUUGGCACAGCAAGAAAGUUCCAAAGGAUACAGCAUUCCUGUUAAUCCAGAGCAUGUAACCAAAGCCAAACAGGUAGUGAAUUUCUACCUCACAUUACCUCACAUCAGUUAUGUUACUGCUUUGUGUUUGGCAGUGAAUUUUAGAAAUGUUGCAGACUUCAUAAACAGUUCUGCAGAGACUGUACGAGACAAGGGUCGAAUUUCACUGCAGAAAGCAACAGCCAUCAAGCAGUACCUAUGCAGAGGUUUUAGACCAGAUAUGCUGCCUCCUCAGUAACUUUAGGUCUUUUCUUGACUACCUUGUAAAUUUGGCUGGCUGCUAAAAAAAAAAAUCACAAUACCACGGCUGGAACGAAUCCAUUGUUCCUCUUUGCCCUGGAUCAUUUUCAGGUCACAUUGGUUGUGCUGUGAUCAUGGUAAAGGAUGACCAUGAUCACUUUACCUUUCUAGACACUAAGCUUUUCAUAUAUCAGUAGUAUAUUAUUUAAAAAAUGCUGAUAAUUCUUGUUAUACAAUUAAUUUUUUUAAUAAUAAUAGUAUACGUAUAAUACUUUGGUAAAUGUUAAUAAGCACGCACUUGUACAUAAGCUUAAAUAUUUAUUGUGUUUGAUUCCUGCUGUGCAAUAUUCCAGGGAUUCCUCAUUUUUAACCAAAAUUUUAAUUCCUCUACCUCUAAGACACUUACCUGAAAGCCAACUUUCAAAUAUUCUUAUUAUUAUAUACUAAAACAUUUGUUUUUUUUACCGUAUGGCAGUCUCCCACUGACACCUUGGAGAUGUCCUGUCUAAGGGCAAUGUGUGGUGUAAAUAUUAUGCAGAAAAUUUGGAGUGUGGAAAUUAGGAGAAGGUGUGGAGUUAAUAAAAGUAUUAGUCAGAGGGCUGAGGAGGGGUUGUUGAGGUGGUUUGGUCAUUUAGAGAGAAUGGAUCAAAGUAGAAUGACAUGGAGAGUGUAUAAAUCUGUAGGGGAAGGAAGGCGGGGUAGGGAUCGUCCUCGAAAAGGUUGGAAGGAAGGGGUAAGGGAGGUUUUGUGGAGGAGGGGCUUGGACGUCCAGCAGGCGUGCAUGAGCGUGUUCUAUAGGAGUGAAUGGAGACGAAUGGUAUUUGGGACCUGACUUAUCUGUUGAAGUGUGAGCAGGUAAUAUUUAGUGAAGGGAUUCAGGGAAACCAGUUAUUUUUAUCUAGCUGGACUUGAGUCCUGGAAAUGGGAAGUACAAUGCCUGCGCUUUAAAGGAGGGGUUCGGGAUAUUAGCAGUUUGGAGGGAUACGCUGUGUAUCUUUUAACGUAUAUGCUUCUAAACUGUUGUGUUUGAGCACCUCUGCAAAAACAGUGAUCAUGUGUGUGAGGUGAAAGCGUUGAAUGAUGAUGAAAGUAUUUUCUUUUUAGGGAUUUUCUUUCUUUUUGGGUCACCCUGCCUCG
This is a non-coding RNA of Cherax quadricarinatus, 1443 nucleotides long. The record is from RefSeq and is a predicted model, not a curated record. NCBI's taxonomy places the organism in Eukaryota, Metazoa, Arthropoda, Malacostraca, Decapoda, Parastacidae.